Molecule: long non-coding RNA, 996 nt
Organism: Aethina tumida (small hive beetle)
Lineage: Eukaryota; Metazoa; Arthropoda; Insecta; Coleoptera; Nitidulidae
Exons: 3
Source: RefSeq, a predicted model, not a curated record
UCAAUUAUUCAGUAACAAUAUAAAUAAUAACAAUAAACAAUACAAACAGUAAAUGCGAUAUGUUUAUCUCUUUAACCUGUUUGUUGCUCUGUGAUUUGUUUGUACUUUUGUAUCGGUGGUCCAUAAUCUUAUACAUCUUUGUCUAUGGUCCAGUUUGAAAAAACCGGUAGUAGGUAAAACGUGCGUAAGUUUGGUAUAUAGGUUAUAUUUAAGGCUGACCUAAACAAAAAAUGAGUAAACACAAAAAGAAAUUGUGAGGAAAAGUCGAAGGUGAAACUUAAGACGAAUGCUAAAACGGAUUUUCUGCCUAAGGGAAAAGAUGUGACCAAUACAAGUUUUAAAGUGGAUGCGAUUCUACUGCCCGAGUUAUUAAAAACAAAUAAAUACAUUCCUUUGAAUAAAAAUAGUUUUAUUAUAAAAAUAAGACUUGGUUGUUCGAUUGAAACACUACAAUGACAACGUGUGAUACAGUUCAUAUGAGGAAAAAACUGACAUGCACAAGCAUUUAUGUGAUAAGAUUAUUCUAAAUCACUUAUGUAUUUUGGUAAAGAAUGUGAUAACAUUAGUUCAAGAUAGAUGGAAAAGUUCGGAGCUUCAGCUGUGGCAGUUAUCGACAAGCUUGUGGAACAUGAAGCAAAAAUGAAGAUGCAUCAACAAAUCACAGCCAGAUUCAAUAUUUCUUAGAAGCAAUUCAUACAGUCCUGUCUAUUGAGUGAACUAGAAAUCAAUAUAUUGGAGGAAAGUAUCUAAAAUAUUAACCAAUUUUCCAUAGCCAUUUAGAUUUAGUUACCCGUUUUGUUGUAACAUAUGUUUAAUUUUAAUGUCAAGCACAUUCUAAUUACAAAGUGUGUGUUAUAAGAGGCUACAUUAUCAAGUUGUGGAGAAAGAAAUUAUUUUUUUAUUAAAUUAAUUUCAAGACAUGAAGGAAGACUGAAAAUUUGUCAAAUUUUAGCGACAACUGUUGAUGUAUGUAAAUAGAUUUUAUAUAUUUCUACA